RNAcentral lists this ribosomal RNA (34 nucleotides) under Combretum zeyheri. RNAcentral describes it as "partial 26S ribosomal RNA". The record is from RNAcentral. Lineage: Eukaryota; Viridiplantae; Streptophyta; Magnoliopsida; Myrtales; Combretaceae.
UACCCGCUGAGUUUAAGCAUAUCAAUAAGCGGAG